Molecule: ribosomal RNA, 246 nt
Filed under: uncultured bacterium
Lineage: Bacteria
Description: partial 16S ribosomal RNA
Rfam family: Bacterial small subunit ribosomal RNA
Source: RNAcentral
AGCUGGCGACCGGCGCACGGGUGAGUAACACGUAUCCAACCUGCCUCAUACUCGGGGAUAGCCUUUCGAAAGAAAGAUUAAUAUCCGAUAGCAUAUAUUUCCCGCAUGGGUUUUAUAUUAAAGAAAUUCGGUAUGAGAUGGGGAUGCGUUCCAUUAGUUUGUUGGGGGGUAACGGCCCACCAAGACUACGAUGGAUAGGGGUUCUGAGAGGAAGGUCCCCCACAUUGGAACUGAGACACGGUCCAA